This is a microRNA precursor of Chinchilla lanigera (long-tailed chinchilla), 84 nucleotides long. Ensembl annotates it as microRNA 1251. Lineage: Eukaryota; Metazoa; Chordata; Mammalia; Rodentia; Chinchillidae. The record is from Ensembl.
GUCAGCUAUGUGGACUCUAGCUGCCAAAGGCGCUCCUCCUUCUGAACAGAGCGCUUUGCUCAGCCAGUGUAGACAUGGCCUGAU